Molecule: long non-coding RNA, 549 nt
Filed under: Manacus vitellinus (golden-collared manakin)
Lineage: Eukaryota; Metazoa; Chordata; Aves; Passeriformes; Pipridae
Description: lncRNA (ENSMVIG00005004647.1)
Source: RNAcentral
GGACGAGACCACGCAGGAGAUGUUCCGCUACUUCGAGCCGCUCUACGAGGUGAUCCACGACAUGCCCCGGCCCCCCGAGUUCUUCUUCAAGAGGAAAGGGGACAGUGGAGAACAGCCAGAGGGCCCCGUCCAGGAUGUGCCAGGGAGCAGCCCGGCCCCGGAGUGCCCCGAGGAUGCCCUGCCCGGGGAGCAGCAGGGCGGGCAGCACGUGCCAGGAGGUGGGCUGGCUCCUGCCCCCGAGGGGCUUGAGGGCAGCCAGGUGACCAGUGACUCCGAGGGGGACAUGUACUGCGACACCCUGGAGCAGGGGGAACCCGAGAAGGCUGGGGGGCCGCAGGGCCUCACCCCAAAUGGCAUCCAGGCCGGGGCUGAGCCCCUGGAGCCCCGUGGUGCUGGGCAGGGGCUGUGGGGCGAAGGCAGAAGACCCGAGGGGAGCAGCAGCACUGACCUCGGAACCCUGGGCUCCCAGAGAGGUGGGUGCAGCCUUGGCCCCUUCCUGCUGCUCCCCCCUGCAGGCAAGGCUGGCCUGGGGGGCUCUGGGGGUGUGAG